AUGCUAUUUGUGGUGUAGUGUGUGAAUAGUAGAAUGAUUGUUCAGACUCACUUCUGUCAAUUAUUUGUUUACAGACUUGGUUUUGAAAUUUAGUUGUAAUAAACCCAUGUCCAUCAUGAUAACUGCCAACAUGGUCUGUUUUAUAGCAUCACUAUUUCUCAAUAUUUUAGAGUUGAAAACAUAGUUGAUGCAAAAAUGAGAUAAAAAA
RNAcentral lists this unclassified non-coding RNA (208 nucleotides) under Hevea brasiliensis (rubber tree). Lineage: Eukaryota; Viridiplantae; Streptophyta; Magnoliopsida; Malpighiales; Euphorbiaceae. The record is from RNAcentral.